GACAGAGGAUGCAAGCGUUAUCCGGAAUGAUUGGGCGUAAAGCGUCUGUAGGUGGCUUUUCAAGUCCGCCGUCAAAUCCCAGGGCUCAACCCUGGACAGGCGGUGGAAACUACCAAGCUGGAGUACGGUAGGGGCAGAUGGAAUUCCGGGUGUAGCGGUGGAAUGCGUAGAGAUCCGGAAGAACACCGGUGGCGAAGGCGGUCUGCUGGGGUCGAACUGACGCUGAGACGCGAAAGCGUGGGGAGCGAACAGG
RNAcentral lists this ribosomal RNA (253 nucleotides) under uncultured bacterium. Its description in RNAcentral is "partial 16S ribosomal RNA". It matches the Rfam family "Bacterial small subunit ribosomal RNA", at positions 524 to 776 of the family's 1533-position model. The record is from RNAcentral.